Molecule: non-coding RNA, 47 nt
Organism: Streptomyces griseoflavus Tu4000
Lineage: Bacteria; Bacillati; Actinomycetota; Actinomycetes; Kitasatosporales; Streptomycetaceae
Source: Rfam
UCGGCCCCGGUUCACGCUCCCGCACCGAGCGGUGGCGACCCGGAGCC